This 253-nucleotide unclassified non-coding RNA is filed under the name uncultured Bacillaceae bacterium. Its description in RNAcentral is "contains 16S-23S intergenic spacer region". It matches the Rfam family "Bacterial small subunit ribosomal RNA", at positions 524 to 776 of the family's 1533-position model. Lineage: Bacteria; Bacillati; Bacillota; Bacilli; Caryophanales; Bacillaceae. The record is from RNAcentral.
UACGUAGGUGGCAAGCGUUGUCCGGAAUUAUUGGGCGUAAAGCGCGCACAGGCGGUUCCUUAAGUCCGAUGUGAAAGCCCAAGGCUCAACCGUGGAGGGUCAUUGGAAACUGGGGAACUUGAGUGCAGAAGAGGAAAGUGGAAUUCCAUGUGCAGCGGUGAAAUGCGUAGAGAUGUGGAGGAACACCAGUGGCGAAGGCGACUCUCUGGUCUGUAACUGACGCUGAGGAGCGAAAGCGUGGGGAGCGAACAGG